Bubalus bubalis (water buffalo) is the source of this 5458-nucleotide long non-coding RNA. RefSeq lists it as uncharacterized. The transcript is spliced from 2 exons. Lineage: Eukaryota; Metazoa; Chordata; Mammalia; Artiodactyla; Bovidae. The record is from RefSeq and is a predicted model, not a curated record.
GGCAAGGGUACUGGAGUGGGGUGCCAUUGCCUUCUCUGAGCCAGGUGUCUAAAUUAACAUAAAAUACUUUCUUCCCCCAGUCAUAAAUGGAAAAGGAAAGCAGUUAAAAGAUAAUCCAUACAGUAUAAUUUUUGUUCUGCUGAACUUUACCACUGCAUAACUUUACACACACAAUUGUUUGUUUAAAAAAUCAAAAUGUGAAAGUUUGAAAAAAUUGUCAUAUAUAUUUACGAGGGUUUAUAGUAUUCUCUCUACCCUUCUCUAUUUGUAAUAUUUCAUUUAAAAAGUGCAACACAAAAAAUAAAAUGACCUGAGUAAGUUCUGGUAUUUUUGAUCUUCAUCCCUGAUCUAGUCCUAUGAAAAACUACAGGAAGACACAGAAUGAAUAAUUUUUCCUUUUAGAAUGUGCCCAGGCAUACCAAUACAAUAGCUGAAAGCUAUUAUAACUGUAUAAUUGAAAUUAUACAGAAUGUUUAAAAGUUUUAAAAUUGAGAUUUCUUAAAAGACUCAUAUAAAGAAUUGUGUGUAGAUAAAUGUUAAUGCUUUUUUGUUUCCACUCUGGAAAACCACUCAGCAGGCCUCUCUGCCCUUAGUACAUCACAGACUUUUUAGUGCUACAGUAUUAUCUGGCAUUUAGAAAAUUCCCUGGCAUCUGAAUCUGUUAAAAUAGCAAACUAUCUAACAGAAAAAAAAAUAAUAACUUUACAUAUCUUAAUGUAAACUUCAAAAUUCAGAUGCUCCAUCAGUAUCAAAAUUAAGCAGUUUAUUAGCUAUUCAUCAGCCUUUUCUUCAUUAACCAACUCUAUGUAAGCCAAGUGUCUCUGAUGCAGUAAACCUUUAGAGUUCAAAUAAAUUUAGUUCAAUUCUAUGUUGUGUUAUGUAUUUCUAAUACGUAAUCAAAUUCUUUACUGUCUAACAACUUGGUUAUUAUGGAUUUACUGUAAUUUCUUUUCAGUCUAUAGACUUCGGAAAUUUGCAUGAUUGUUUUAAUGGUGUAUUUGCAGAUAAGUUUUUAUUUGCACAUAAGGACAAAAAGGUGAAGUGAAAUUUGGUCCCAAUGGAAACCUGUUAGGUUCCCUGAACAUAUGGCUCAUUGGGCUGUUACUUCCUUUUUGAGAUCAUUUUCCAAGAUUUUUUAAUAUAUACAUCAACUUGACACCAGUUAUAAAGAAAAUAUAUUGACUUUGUAGAUGCCUCCACCUGGGGAACAUCUCUCAAAAACAAACCAUGCAGUCAGGUGCACCUUUAAAUGUACAGGUGUCCAGGCUCAAGAACAGGGCAUCAUUUGAAAUUAGUCAGAACUGACAGUUGAUUUUACACUGUCUUUGAAAUUAGGUAGUUCUUUGGAUUCUUAGAAUGCCACAAUGACUUGAUUAAUACAAUUAGGGGUGACUACUUAAAACUACUUUUUUACAGAAGGCUGUGCAUUUGGAACCUACAGUAUUACAAUGAUUUCUCUCAGUAAAUACAAGUGAUGUAAGUCUCAUUUAUUGAAAGUGUGUGGUGCCAGCUUAAGGGGAAAAUCACAGCACUUUGAAAAAGAUGUAAAUGUUCCAUUGGUAAAAAAGGGGGGAAAACCGUGCUAAAACAUGUGCCUAUUUCCAUUAUGCUUAAUUUACUAUUCAAAACAAGUUUUUCCUAAUAAGCUCUAUUGUUUCUUUCUGUUUUGUAAAAUUUAAUAUGUGUGAGACAAAAACCAGAUUCAGAAUGUGAAUGAAGUCUGGUUAGCGAAAGCUUGUUGGAGCUUUCAGUUCAAGGAGGGCCUCAAAUUAAAAGACAUAUCACAUUAUGACACUGAUAAUAUAUAAGGGAGAAAAGUGUCUCAGGUUGUUUCCAGAACCAGUUACAGUUAGAUUGCUAAAUUCCUCCAGCCUCCGAGCGAAUAAAGUGCAGCAAACACCAGAAUAUUCAGAAUGAUAGUGCUGCAAAUAUUUACUAAGUAACUUUAAUUUUUGCUUUAUUGCAGUUCUCUUCUUUCUGAGAUUGAGAUUCCCAAACAGGACUGAAAUAUAAGUUCUCAAACAUGUCAUCCCCUUGUCUUAUCUGUACAAGGUCGUUUGUCUUUAAGUCAGUCACACUUUUCCAGAAUAUUUGCACCUGAUUAUGGAAGCUCUUGAUGCCUAACUGGUCUCUCUCCUUUGAAUAUCUCCUCAGGAUCUGAAAUGCCUGAUAACCUGGAGUAUGCCCAUGCCUCCUUUGCUGUUUAGGUCUAUAUCAUGAUUACAUUUUUAAAAUAUCCUGCUUGUACCCUUUGGAAGCACUGUACAAAAGAUGAGUUAUCACUUAUUAAUUCAAGGAAUGAUUGUUUUAGAAAUAACCAAACCUUAAAGACUGCUUUCUUUUUGUGUGGACCAAAAACAUUAAAAAACUCAAAAAAACAAAAAGACUGUCUCUAAAGAGAAUGAAUGAGUCCUUCAAACCUACUCAAGAAACCCAUCUCAAGCUCUCCUGCCUUUCAAUCCACUAUUUUUUCCAUAAUAAUCCUUCACCUCAAGAUAGAAAUAACUUUUCACUGUCUUUGUACUUGCCUUCACAGGAAGCUUAAAUCACUUUAUAUCUGGAAUCUUUUGUACCCAAAGAAACUAACUAAUAUGCUAAACCACAGAGACAUUAGAGAGCCCGGCAUUCCCUGACCAUGAGAUGGGGUGGUUAUUGGGGUGAUUAUCGAUUUAUCACCACCCUAACACAGGGCCCCAGAACUUGUCUGCUGGGAGAAGCAUCUUAUAGCACACUGAGUGUGAGAUUCCCCAUACCUCCUCCGAUGAGCAAACAACAAGAGUUGGAAUGUAUUUUGUAGCGUGAGACACAAUCUGAGGUAGGAGAAAAGGUAAAAAGGAUUUGUACCUCUAAAACAUGGAGUUAGAGGUAUGACACCCAAACCACAAUGCUAAUUGUUUAAUAGUCCAAAUUCUAAAUCAAAGGUUAUAGUUUGUAUAGGAAAUUAAAAGAAAAAAGUCAACCAGUAUGAACUGGAAGUGAGCCUAUGUAUUUUCUAAAACUAUUAAUCUGGAACUAAAACAUAUUCUAAACCAAACAAACACUUCAUUUGCUUCAAGAACCAGCCUUUGCUUGUCUCCUUGGACUUGAGACUCAGGAGGAGGUCUCAGCUUUAUAUUCUCUUCCCUAGAGUGUUGGUGAAUCAACUCUGAAAACAGCUCUCAUUAGACAAAUAGUUUCUCCAUUUGCAGUUGUUAAAUGGCACUAAUCGCCAGUAAGAAAGGGGCAUCCUGUGUGAGUGUAUUCAUACAACUUCAAGCAAUUGGUUUAAAAGGAAGGCAAGCUCACUGGGAAUCUGAGGUAUCAGUAAGGGUGAUAAAGCUUGCUGGAAAAAGCUCUCUCUAACCAGGACUGAGGAAGAAAUGCAAGCAGCAGGCUUCCUCUGCUAAAGCAGCUUUGUGACACACUCACACAUACACACACUCUCUCUCUCUCACACACACACACACACACACACACUCACUCGCUCACUCCAAUAUCCUGAGGUUUUAUUACUGGCAUUUUGAAAGUCUCUUCCUUCAGCAUCUAUAAGGGAAGACCAGGAUGAGAUCUAUUUGUAGGUUAGGGCACUUGGUGAAUUUUAAAGCAGAUUUUGCUCCACCUUUCCAUCUUUAAAGUUAUCAAGUCCCAACUUAGUUUAUUUUGAAAUACAAUUAAUACCAAGGAGUAGUGUGGCUCUAUAGCAAGAGUUAGAAAAAAACACAUAAUCCCAAUUUGGAAGUACCACUGUAAGUGACACUCCACUUUCAGAGGGUGCUAUAGUACCCUGGACUGGCUUGGAAGGAAACUGGCCACAGAGGGAGCACUGGGCCAUUGUCUAGUCAAGAGUCAACAAGAGUCAAAAAACCCUGCCGCUUCUGCCAAAACAUAAGGACAUUUCCAAACAUUGCAGUCAUUUCUUCCUGGUUCACCCUACAAUAUGCUUGGGAGUAACUCAUAUGCUGUGGGGGUAACUCAUUUCCUUUCCAAGGCAAAGCCCCACUAAAAAUGUCUCGAAUAUCCCAAUUAGUAUACAUCAGAGAAUGACCCUUGCUUCCUCAAUCUAGUAUUUUUUAGUUAGGAUUGCCUGGUUUAGCAAAUAAAAGUACAGGAUGCGCAGUUAAAUCUCUGUUUCAGAUAACUAAUAAAUAAUUUUUUUUUGCUGUAAGAAUGCCCUGUGCAAUGUUGGCACUCCUAUUUUUAAUAUCUUGUUGACUAAAAAGAUGUGAAAUCAAGUCUUAACAGAUAUUUCCCUAGUUUUUUACUUUUUGUGGAUUUGGGGGUGGGGGUGGGGAUCAGGUGCAGAUCAGAUAUGCCUUUUGUGCCUGGAAUUUUCUUUCUUCCUUUCUCAUUCCGCAGGGAAAGUCUCAGUGCCUCUUAAGCAUCUCUCAGCCUCUGCUCUACACGCUACUCCCCUUGCUUUUGAUUAUACAAGGUUUUGCGUUGUAUUGAAAUUUUUGUGUGUGUAUCUAGUCUCCUCUAGGAUGAUGUGAGCUUUUUCAAAGGGAGAAAGACCUUAUCACCUGGCUUCCACCCUUCCACAGGCUUCCCUGGCGCCUGGCUAGACUCUGCUUCCAGGCUGCCCAGGUGGACGAGGAGACGCUGCGGGAAUUCUCCACUCCCACCUGGGACCCAGGUGCCAAGGGAAGCUGAGACUGGGCAUUUGGGCCCCUGGAAGCAUGGGCAAGGAAAGGGAGAGGACGCAGGAGCGCUAGGUCCUUCCAGCCCGGCUCUGGGAUGCGGUGAGGGCCCGAGCAGGCCCUUCCUGAGGCCCGGCCUGGAGGCCUUCUCCCGCCGCCCGGGCCUGCCUGCCUGCCGGCCGCCCGGCCCGGCCCCGCGAGGUCGAGAGCUGGGCCGCCUGGGCCCGGGGCCCCUGUAAGUGGCGGGCGGCGCGGGUACCGCCGGCUCGGAGCGCCCGGGGGUCGGGGAGGCCGGAACCCUCCGCCCCAGGCCCUUCUCCGCCCGGCCGGCCGCUCGGCGCCUCGCUACAGCCGGGCGAUUCUUCCCCUCAUUUGUUGCAUUGUUUGCAUUAAUAUGAAUAUCUUGUUCUGUUUGUUUUGUCUCCUGGGAGCCAAUAAAGCUGUGAGUUUUUUCUUUACACCAAAUGCAGCUCUACGGGCGAUCAAUCAAUGGGGUAGUCUUCGGAUAAUCUGUGAGAGUGAGAAAUCUAAUAAAACUAGCGACUAAAAAAGGAAAACAAAGUCUAUUUUUCUCUUAGGUUCACUACGUCAGGAUGAGUGUGUUCCACUUCUGCUGCUUGAGGUGUGCACAGUGGGAGCAGAUGAAGAUGUGGGACUCAUGGCUCAGUAAAAACUCUUCACAACAAUCAUGAGAAGGGGAAAUCACGUCUCAUUAGAAUGUGUCUGUAAGUUUUUCUUCAUCUUAAAGAAAAGUGCAUUUAUCUCCGAAAGAAAGCAAUAUUUCUCCCUGAAGUGUACAUUUUCUAAGUUGAAUUAAAACCAGAAUGGGUGUGGUUGUGGAA